This 408-nucleotide long non-coding RNA is filed under the name Sinocyclocheilus anshuiensis. RNAcentral describes it as "lncRNA (ENSSANG00000044429.1)". Lineage: Eukaryota; Metazoa; Chordata; Actinopteri; Cypriniformes; Cyprinidae. The record is from RNAcentral.
ACAUUUGUGUUUGUGCAUGUUUGUGAGAAGCCUCAGAGCCAAUCCUGAAGCUGCGACCAAAGAGAAGUACAUCAGGAAGACAGAACCCACUGCAGCGUAAAAUCAGUGCGCCCCCUGCUGUCAGAGCAUCUGACUCUAUGGGGGGAGCCUCCAGUUCUACUCCAGUAUCUUUAAAAAGUUCAUCAGCAGAUACAAAAAUGAGCCAUCAAGAGCCACAGACCUAUAGCACAUCAUCACCACAACGGGAUGAAUCUCCUGUACACACCAUGCUCUGGACUAGAUAUGAACAGCCGGUCUUUGCCUUGCAUCCACCUGUUCUUGCAGGUAACACACAACAUUCACUAAUCUUGAGACCAGAAAAUCAGUGUAAAUGAGAAAAUAACCUAAUUUGCUCUUUCUCUCUCACAG